Small nucleolar RNA from Nannospalax galili (Upper Galilee mountains blind mole rat), 95 nucleotides. Ensembl annotates it as predicted gene, 24958. The record is from Ensembl. Lineage: Eukaryota; Metazoa; Chordata; Mammalia; Rodentia; Spalacidae.
AACAUUGAUAGCCCCUCUUGAUGAUUCCUCUUCCUGAGUGGCUUGUGAUGAGCAAACUGAGCCUCUAAGAAGUUGACUGAAGGGGCAGCUUCUCA